UACGUAGGGUGCGAGCGUUAAUCGGAAUUACUGGGCGUAAAGGGUGCGUAGGCGGGUCUUUAAGUCAGGGGUGAAAUCCUGGAGCUCAACCUCCAGAACUGCCUUUGAUACUGAAGAUCUUGAGUUCGGGAGAGGUGAGUGGAACUGCGAGUGUAGAGGUGAAAUUCGUAGAUAUUCGCAAGAACACCAGUGGCGAAGGCGGCUCACUGGCCCGAUACUGACGCUGAGGCACGAAAGCGUGGGGAGCAAACAGG
RNAcentral lists this ribosomal RNA (254 nucleotides) under uncultured bacterium. RNAcentral's name for it is "partial 16S ribosomal RNA". It matches the Rfam family "Bacterial small subunit ribosomal RNA", at positions 524 to 776 of the family's 1533-position model. The record is from RNAcentral.